CCUGACGACCCCAGCGGACUGGAACCACCUGAGCCCACCAGGACCUCUGAAGUGAAACAGUCCUGCGCCGAUGGUAGUGUGGUUCGCCCAUGCGAGAGUAGGUCAUCGUCAGGC
This 114-nucleotide ribosomal RNA is filed under the name Alteromonadaceae bacterium. Lineage: Bacteria; Pseudomonadati; Pseudomonadota; Gammaproteobacteria; Alteromonadales; Alteromonadaceae. The record is from RNAcentral.